CAGUAGCCGCGGUAAAACGAAGGGGGCUAGCGUUGUUCGGAUUUACUGGGCGUAAAGCGCACGUAGGCGGAUCGAUCAGUCAGGGGUGGAAUCCCAGAGCUCAACUCUGGAACUGCCUUUGAUACUGUCGAUCUGGAGUAUGGAAGAGGUGAGUGGAAUUCCGAGUGUAGAGGUGAAAUUCGUAGAGAUCUGGAGGAAUACCGGUGGCGAAGGCGGCCCCCUGGACAAAGACUGACGCUCAGGUGCGAAAGCGUGGGGAGCAAACAGGAUUAGAUACCCGCGUAGUCCCUGUCUCUUAUAC
This 301-nucleotide ribosomal RNA is filed under the name uncultured bacterium. RNAcentral describes it as "partial 16S ribosomal RNA". It matches the Rfam family "Bacterial small subunit ribosomal RNA", at positions 509 to 807 of the family's 1533-position model. The record is from RNAcentral.